This 454-nucleotide ribosomal RNA is filed under the name uncultured bacterium. RNAcentral's name for it is "partial 16S ribosomal RNA". It matches the Rfam family "Bacterial small subunit ribosomal RNA", at positions 28 to 507 of the family's 1533-position model. The record is from RNAcentral.
GAUGAACGCUGACAGAAUGCUUAACACAUGCAAGUCAACUUGAACUUCGGUUUGGGUGGCGGACGGGUGAGUAACGCGUAAAGAACUUGCCUCACAGAUAGGGACAACAUUUGGAAACGAAUGCUAAUACCUGAUAUUAUGAUUAUAUGGCAUCGUAUAAUUAUGAAAGCUAUAUGCGCUGUGAGAGAGCUUUGCGUCACAUUAGCUGGUUGGAGAGGUAACGUCUCACAAAGGCGAGGAUGGGUAGCCGGCCUGAGGGGGUGAUCGGCCACAAGGGAAUGGAGACACGACCCUUACUCCUACGGGAGGCAGCAGUGGGGAAUAUAGGACAAUGGACCAAGAGUCUGAUCCAGCAAUUCUGUGUGCGCGAUGAAGUUUUUCGGAAUGUAAAGUGCUUUCAGUUGGGAAGAAAAAAAUGACGGUACCAACAGAAGAAGUGACGGCUAAAUACGUG